GUGUUGAUAAGAAAGAAUAAAUAGUUCUAUACACUAUACACAUAUUGAAAAUAAUGUUUUUUUUUCGUCUUUUGGAAGAGAAAAAGGAAAUAUUUUUCAGUUUUGACCAUAAACAUUGUUUUCUACUGUACAUUUGGU
This is a small nucleolar RNA of Caenorhabditis elegans, 138 nucleotides long. The record is from Ensembl. NCBI's taxonomy places the organism in Eukaryota, Metazoa, Nematoda, Chromadorea, Rhabditida, Rhabditidae.